This 704-nucleotide ribosomal RNA is filed under the name Parawubanoides unicornis. RNAcentral describes it as "SSU rRNA". It matches the Rfam family "Eukaryotic small subunit ribosomal RNA", at positions 984 to 1711 of the family's 1831-position model. The record is from RNAcentral. Lineage: Eukaryota; Metazoa; Arthropoda; Arachnida; Araneae; Linyphiidae.
CGAAAGUUAGAGGUUCGAAGGCGAUCAGAUACCGCCCUAGUUCUAACCAUAAACGAUGCCAGCCAGCGAUCCGGCUGUGUUCCUCAAAUGACACGCCGGGCAGCUUCCGGGAAACCAAAGCUUUUGGGUUCCGGGGGAAGUAUGGUUGCAAAGCUGAAACUUAAAGGAAUUGACGGAGGGGCACCACCAGACGUGGAUGUUGCGGUUCAAUUUGACUCAACGCAGCAAAUCCUACCAGGCCAGGACACAGGAAGGAUUGACAGAUUGAGAGCUCUUUCUUGAUUCUGUGGGUGGUGGUGCAUGGCCGUUCCUGGUUCGUGGAGCGAUUUGUCUUGUUUAUUCUGAUAACGGACGAGAUUCUAGCCUACUAAAUAGACGCUUCGAUCCUUCGAGUCGAGCGUUCUUCUUAGAGGGACAGGCGGUGUUUAGCCGCACGAGGCAGAGCAAUAACAGGUCUGUAAUGCCCUUAGAUGUCCUGGGCCACACGCGUCCUACAUUGAAGGAAUCAACGUGUGCUUUCCCUGUCCGAAGGGACUGGGUAACCCGUUGAACCUCCUUCGUGCUGGGGAUAGGAAAUUGUAAUUAUUUUCCUUGAACGAGGAACUUCUAGUAAGCGCGAGUCAUCAUCUCGGGUUGAUUAUGUCCCUGCCCCUUGUCCACACCGCGCGUCGCUAUUACCGAUAGAGUGAUUUAGUGAGGUCUUC